CUUCCUCGAUCUGCUGCGGGCAGAUGAAAUGGAUGUGCACGUCGAUCCCGCCCGCGGUGAGGAUGCGCCCCUCUCCGGCGAUGAUCUCCGUGCCGGGGCCGAUCACGAUAUCCACACCGGGCUGGGUGUCGGGAUUGCCGGCUUUGCCGAUCGCGGCGAUACGACCCGCUUUCAGCCCGACAUCCGCCUUCACGAUGCCCCAAUGAUCGACGAUCAGGGCAUUGGUAAUGACCGUAUCCAUCGCACCGGCAGCGUUGAUCAUCUGCGACUGGCCCAUGCCGUCACGGAU
This 289-nucleotide small RNA is filed under the name Granulibacter bethesdensis CGDNIH1. RNAcentral's name for it is "5' ureB small RNA". It matches the Rfam family "5' ureB small RNA". The record is from Rfam by way of RNAcentral. Lineage: Bacteria; Pseudomonadati; Pseudomonadota; Alphaproteobacteria; Acetobacterales; Acetobacteraceae.